Molecule: long non-coding RNA, 411 nt
Organism: Salvia miltiorrhiza (redroot sage)
Lineage: Eukaryota; Viridiplantae; Streptophyta; Magnoliopsida; Lamiales; Lamiaceae
Exons: 3
Source: RefSeq, a predicted model, not a curated record
UUCUCCCCUAACUUUCGACCACCACCUCUCUCCCCUUCAUCUCUCUACUUUCCACCAUUUUCCUCCAUUGAUGCACCUUCGAAGCUUCACCAAAAUAUGUCAAACACAUAAAUCACCAAUAAAAUCCCACCUUAAACACCUUCCAUCUCCUUAGAUUCAAGAAGAUCCAUGGAGAUUCAAUCUUGAAGAUAGUGAGAGAAAAUUUGAUAUUUGGUGUAAACUUGGACACGAGCAGAGCAAGGAAGUAAGUAACUCCACUUUGACGGGAGUUUUUGAGUAAGGUCUUCAGGCUAAGCGAGGAGCGAGAUUGGUCUGGUGCUAGUGGGGGAAACGUUUCAAUCGAUGUAAUUAUAUUUCCGUAUUGCCUUCAUGUUAAUAGAGUCUUGAGGAUUGAGAUACUUUGUUUUCUUU